GCCUCCUUGGCGCAGUUGGCAGCGCGCAAGUCUCAUAAUCUUGAGGUCGUGAGUUCGAUCCUCACAGGGGGAA
RNAcentral lists this transfer RNA (73 nucleotides) under Hofstenia miamia. RNAcentral describes it as "tRNA-Met for anticodon CAU". It matches the Rfam family "tRNA". From Rfam's summary of the family: Transfer RNA (tRNA) molecules are approximately 80 nucleotides in length. Lineage: Eukaryota; Metazoa; Xenacoelomorpha; Acoela; Hofsteniidae. The record is from RNAcentral.